UACGGGGGGGGCAAGCGUUGUUCGGAAUCACUGGGCGUAAAGGGCUCGUAGGCGGCCAACUAAGUCCGACGUGAAAUCCCCAGGCUUAACCUGGGAACUGCGUCGGAUACUGGAUGGCUUGAAUUCGGGAGAGGGAUGCAGAAUUCCAGGUGUAGCGGUGAAAUGCGUAGAUAUCUGGAGGAAUACCGGUGGCGAAGGCGGCAUCCUGGACCGACAUUGACGCUGAUGAGCGAAAGCUAGGGGAGCAAACGGG
Molecule: ribosomal RNA, 253 nt
Filed under: uncultured bacterium
Lineage: Bacteria
Description: partial 16S ribosomal RNA
Rfam family: Bacterial small subunit ribosomal RNA
Source: RNAcentral